Temnothorax curvispinosus is the source of this 597-nucleotide long non-coding RNA. RefSeq lists it as uncharacterized. NCBI's taxonomy places the organism in Eukaryota, Metazoa, Arthropoda, Insecta, Hymenoptera, Formicidae. The transcript is spliced from 3 exons. The record is from RefSeq and is a predicted model, not a curated record.
AUGACAUGCUGAAAUGAGACCGGCACUACCACCAUGUGAAAAACUCCAUUGAUUUUUGAGAUUUCAAGUUGCCCGUUCUCAGCCUCUAAUUGCUCGGACAGCAAACGGUUCUAGAAGGUUAUGAGCUAUAUCGGUAGGAAGAAAAUACCAGUUUGGAGCGAUUCUGACGUAGGCCAAAAAACGGCCUUAUUGACACCCCUCCUUUCAGAAUAACGUGACAGAGAAACAUUUGAAAACUGUUGACAGUGAGAAUGAUUAGUGAUCAAUUAAAUUAAAUUUGAAUCACCAAAUUGUUUAUGUCAUUGUUGGUCCAGAACGGGAUUCAUCUUCAUAAUUUCACCGUCAUCUAAAAAUGCCUUGUACCCGGGAUAGAAUUUGAUCUCUGCAUAAAAUAAUACUAUUUGCAAAACGCAUGGGACGAAAUGCUCGAAUAUGAAUCAACUUAUUUUCCAUGUAGAUUCAUCACGUGCAAGAGCAUAAAAUCGAUGAUUAGUCAACCAUGCCCUCUUCUUAGAAAGAAGAACUGUAAUUACUUUACCUUGAGAGGGUUUGCAAUCAGCAUAAUCUGCGUAAUUGCGGAUGGAGGGAGGAAUGGAU